RNAcentral lists this ribosomal RNA (433 nucleotides) under uncultured bacterium. RNAcentral describes it as "partial 16S ribosomal RNA". It matches the Rfam family "Bacterial small subunit ribosomal RNA", at positions 29 to 507 of the family's 1533-position model. The record is from RNAcentral.
AACGAACGCUGGCGGCAUGCCUAACACAUGCAAGUCGAACGACGGCUUCGUCCUUAGUGGCGCACGCGUGCGUCACGCGUGGGAAUCUGCCCUUGGGUUCGGAAUACCGUCUGUACACUGACGCUAAUACCGGAUGAUGACGUAAGUUCAAAGAUUUAUCGCCCAAGGGUGAGCCCGCGUCGGAUUAGCCAGUUGGUGAGGUAAAAGCUCACCAAGGCGACGAUCCGUAGCUGGUCUGAGAGGAUGAUCAGCCACACUGGGACUGAGACACGGCCCAGACUCCUACGGGAGGCAGCAGUGGGGAAUAUUGGACAAUGGGCGAAAGCCUGAUCCAGCAAUGCCGCGUGAGUGAUGAAGGCCUUAGGGUUGUAAAGCUCUUUUACCCGGGAUGAUAAUGACCGUACCGGGAGAAUAAGCUCCGGCUAACUCCGUG